Molecule: small nucleolar RNA, 106 nt
Organism: Lycium barbarum (goji berry)
Lineage: Eukaryota; Viridiplantae; Streptophyta; Magnoliopsida; Solanales; Solanaceae
Product: small nucleolar RNA Z279/snoR105/snoR108
Exons: 1
Source: RefSeq, a predicted model, not a curated record
GGGAUAUGAUGAGUGGUCAAUGCUCGCAUUAAAUAUGUGAGAAGGGCGUCCAGGCCCAGCCUGGUUACGACAAUUUGGAUGGUCUCAUCUUAACCAAUCUGAUCCU